This 266-nucleotide ribosomal RNA is filed under the name uncultured bacterium. Its description in RNAcentral is "partial 16S ribosomal RNA". It matches the Rfam family "Bacterial small subunit ribosomal RNA", at positions 29 to 289 of the family's 1533-position model. The record is from RNAcentral.
AUGAACGCUGGCGGCGUGCUUAACACAUGCAAGUCGAACGAUUAAAGCUCACUUCGGUGAGUGUAUAGAGUGGCGAACGGGUGAGUAACACGUGGGAAACCUGCCCCUUUCUUCGGGAUAACUUCGGGAAACCGUUGCUAAUACCGGAUACUCCGGGAUGGUCGCAUGGCCGACCCGGGAAAGCUUUAUGUGGAAAAGGGAUGGUCCCGCGGCCCAUUAGCUUGUUGGUGGGGUAAUGGCCUACCAAGGCGAUGAGUGGGUAGCCG